GAUUAACGCUGGCGGCGUGCAUAACACAUGCAAGUCGAACGAUGAAACUCAUUAGAUUUCUUCGGAAUGAAAAUGAAUGGAUUAGUGGCGAACGGGUGAGUAACGCGUGAGUAACCUGCCUUACACAAGGGGAUAGCCUCUGGAAACGGAGAAUAAUACCCUAUGAAACCAGACAAUCGCAUGAUAAUCUGGUCAAAAUGUUUAGUGGUGUAAGAUGGACUUGCGUCUGAUUAGCUAGUUGGUGAGAUAAAAGCUCACCAAGGCAACGAUCAGUAGCCGGCUUGAGAGAGUGUACGGCAACAUUGGGACUGAGACACGGCCCAGACUCCUACGGGAGGCAGCAGUGGGGAAUUUUGCACAAUGGGGGAAACCCUGAUGCAGCGACGCCGCGUGAUUGAGAAGGCCUUCGGGUUGUAAAAAUCUUUUGUAUAGGAAGAAAAUGACAGUACUAUACGAAUAAGGUCCGGCUAAUUACGUG
Molecule: ribosomal RNA, 478 nt
Filed under: uncultured bacterium
Lineage: Bacteria
Description: partial 16S ribosomal RNA
Rfam family: Bacterial small subunit ribosomal RNA
Source: RNAcentral